AUUGAACGCUGGCGGCAUGCCUUACACAUGCAAGUCGAACGGCAGCACGGGAGCAAUCCUGGUGGCGAGUGGCGAACGGGUGAGUAAUAUAUCGGAACGUGCCCAGUCGUGGGGAUAACGUAGCGAAAGCUACGCUAAUACCGCAUACGAUCUAUGGAUGAAAGCGGGGGAUCGCAAGACCUCGCGCGAUUGGAGCGGCCGAUAUCAGAUUAGGUAGUUGGUGAGGUAAAGGCUCACCAAGCCGACGAUCUGUAGCUGGUCUGAGAGGACGACCAGCCACACUGGGACUGAGACACGGCCCAGACUCCUACGGGAGGCAGCAGUGGGGAAUAUUGGACAAUGGGCGAAAGCCUGAUCCAGCAAUGCCGCGUGAGUGAUGAAGGCCUUAGGGUUGUAAAGCUCUUUUACCCGAGAUGAUAAUGACAGUACCGAGAGAAUAAGCACCGGCUAACUAACCGUGCCAGAGCCGCGGUAAA
RNAcentral lists this ribosomal RNA (476 nucleotides) under uncultured bacterium. RNAcentral's name for it is "bacterial SSU rRNA". It matches the Rfam family "Bacterial small subunit ribosomal RNA", at positions 30 to 524 of the family's 1533-position model. The record is from RNAcentral.